GAUGAACGCUGGCGGCGUGCCUAAUACAUGCAAGUCGAGCGAACAGACGAGGAGCUUGCUCCUCUGACGUUAGCGGCGGACGGGUGAGUAACACGUGGAUCACCUACCUAUAAGACUGGGAUAACUUCGGGAAACCGGCGCUAAUACCGGAUAAUAUAUUGAACCGCAUGGUUCAAUAGUGAAAGACGGUUUUGCUGUCACUUAUAGAUGGAUCCGCGCCGCAUUAGCUAGUUGGUAAGGUAACGGCUUACCAAGGCAACGAUGCGUAGCCGACCUGAGAGGGUGAUCGGCCACACUGGAACUGAGACACGGUCCAGACUCCUACGGGAGGCAGCAGUAGGGAAUCUGCCGCAAUGGGCGAAAGCUUGACGGAGCAACGCCGCGUGAGUGAUGAAGGUCUUCGGAUCGUAAAACUCUGUUAUUAGGGAAGAACAAAUGUGUAAGUAACUAUGCACGUCUUGACGGUACCUAAUCAGAAAGCCACGGCUAACUACGUG
RNAcentral lists this ribosomal RNA (497 nucleotides) under uncultured bacterium. RNAcentral's name for it is "partial 16S ribosomal RNA". It matches the Rfam family "Bacterial small subunit ribosomal RNA", at positions 28 to 507 of the family's 1533-position model. The record is from RNAcentral.